GAUUAAGUUAUUAAGGGCGCACGGUGGAUGCCUUGGCACUAGAAGCCGAUGAAGGACGUUACUAACGACGAUAUGCUUUGGGGAGCUGUAAGUAAGCUUUGAUCCAGAGAUUUCCGAAUGGGGAAACCCAGCAUGAGUUAUGUCAUGUUAUCGAUAUGUGAAUACAUAGCAUAUCAGAAGGCACACCCGGAGAACUGAAACAUCUUAGUACCCGGAGGAAGAGAAAGAAAAUUCGAUUCCCUUAGUAGCGGCGAGCGAAACGGGAAGAGCCCAAACCAACAAGCUUGCUUGUUGGGGUUGUAGGACACUCUAUACGGAGUUACAAAGGACGACAUUAGACGAAUCAUCUGGAAAGAUGAAUCAAAGAAGGUAAUAAUCCUGUAGUCGAAAAUGUUGUCUCUCUUGAGUGGAUCCUGAGUACGACGGAGCACGUGAAAUUCCGUCGGAAUCUGGGAGGACCAUCUCCUAAGGCUAAAUACUCUCUAGUGACCGAUAGUGAACCAGUACCGUGAGGGAAAGGUGAAAAGCACCCCGGAAGGGGAGUGAAAUAGAACCUGAAACCGUGUGCUUACAAGUAGUCAGAGCCCGUUAAUGGGUGAUGGCGUGCCUUUUGUAGAAUGAACCGGCGAGUUACGAUUUGAUGCAAGGUUAAGCAGUAAAUGUGGAGCCGUAGCGAAAGCGAGUCUGAAUAGGGCGUUUAGUAUUUGGUCGUAGACCCGAAACCAGGUGAUCUACCCUUGGUCAGGUUGAAGUUCAGGUAACACUGAAUGGAGGACCGAACCGACUUACGUUGAAAAGUGAGCGGAUGAACUGAGGGUAGCGGAGAAAUUCCAAUCGAACCUGGAGAUAGCUGGUUCUCUCCGAAAUAGCUUUAGGGCUAGCCUCAAGUGAUGAUUAUUGGAGGUAGAGCACUGUUUGGACGAGGGGCCCCUCUCGGGUUACCGAAUUCAGACAAACUCCGAAUGCCAAUUAAUUUAACUUGGGAGUCAGAACAUGGGUGAUAAGGUCCGUGUUCGAAAGGGAAACAGCCCAGACCACCAGCUAAGGUCCCAAAAUAUAUGUUAAGUGGAAAAGGAUGUGGCGUUGCCCAGACAACUAGGAUGUUGGCUUAGAAGCAGCCAUCAUUUAAAGAGUGCGUAAUAGCUCACUAGUCGAGUGACACUGCGCCGAAAAUGUACCGGGGCUAAACAUAUUACCGAAGCUGUGGAUUGUCCUUUGGACAAUGGUAGGAGAGCGUUCUAAGGGCGUUGAAGCAUGAUCGUAAGGACAUGUGGAGCGCUUAGAAGUGAGAAUGCCGGUGUGAGUAGCGAAAGACGGGUGAGAAUCCCGUCCACCGAUUGACUAAGGUUUCCAGAGGAAGGCUCGUCCGCUCUGGGUUAGUCGGGUCCUAAGCUGAGGCCGACAGGCGUAGGCGAUGGAUAACAGGUUGAUAUUCCUGUACCACCUAUAAUCGUUUUAAUCGAUGGGGGGACGCAGUAGGAUAGGCGAAGCGUGCGAUUGGAUUGCACGUCUAAGCAGUAAGGCUGAGUAUUAGGCAAAUCCGGUACUCAUUAAGGCUGAGCUGUGAUGGGGAGAAGACAUUGUGUCUUCGAGUCGUUGAUUUCACACUGCCGAGAAAAGCCUCUAGAUAGAAAAUAGGUGCCCGUACCGCAAACCGACACAGGUAGUCAAGAUGAGAAUUCUAAGGUGAGCGAGCGAACUCUCGUUAAGGAACUCGGCAAAAUGACCCCGUAACUUCGGGAGAAGGGGUGCUCUUUAGGGUUAACGCCCAGAAGAGCCGCAGUGAAUAGGCCCAAGCGACUGUUUAUCAAAAACACAGGUCUCUGCUAAACCGUAAGGUGAUGUAUAGGGGCUGACGCCUGCCCGGUGCUGGAAGGUUAAGAGGAGUGGUUAGCUUCUGCGAAGCUACGAAUCGAAGCCCCAGUAAACGGCGGCCGUAACUAUAACGGUCCUAAGGUAGCGAAAUUCCUUGUCGGGUAAGUUCCGACCCGCACGAAAGGCGUAACGAUUUGGGCACUGUCUCAAUGAGAGACUCGGUGAAAUCAUAGUACCUGUGAAGAUGCAGGUUACCCGCGACAGGACGGAAAGACCCCGUGGAGCUUUACUGUAGCCUGAUAUUGAAAUUCGGCACAGCUUGUACAGGAUAGGUAGGAGCCUUUGAAACGUGAGCGCUAGCUUACGUGGAGGCGCUGGUGGGAUACUACCCUAGCUGUGUUGGCUUUCUAACCCGCACCACUUAUCGUGGUGGGAGACAGUGUCAGGCGGGCAGUUUGACUGGGGCGGUCGCCUCCUAAAAGGUAACGGAGGCGCUCAAAGGUUCCCUCAGAAUGGUUGGAAAUCAUUCAUAGAGUGUAAAGGCAUAAGGGAGCUUGACUGCGAGACCUACAAGUCGAGCAGGGUCGAAAGACGGACUUAGUGAUCCGGUGGUUCCGCAUGGAAGGGCCAUCGCUCAACGGAUAAAAGCUACCCCGGGGAUAACAGGCUUAUCUCCCCCAAGAGUUCACAUCGACGGGGAGGUUUGGCACCUCGAUGUCGGCUCAUCGCAUCCUGGGGCUGUAGUCGGUCCCAAGGGUUGGGCUGUUCGCCCAUUAAAGCGGUACGCGAGCUGGGUUCAGAACGUCGUGAGACAGUUCGGUCCCUAUCCGUCGUGGGCGUAGGAAAUUUGAGAGGAGCUGUCCUUAGUACGAGAGGACCGGGAUGGACAUACCUCUGGUGUACCAGUUGUCGUGCCAACGGCAUAGCUGGGUAGCUAUGUGUGGACGGGAUAAGUGCUGAAAGCAUCUAAGCAUGAAGCCCCCCUCAAGAUGAGAUUUCCCAACUUCGGUUAUAAGAUCCCUCAAAGAUGAUGAGGUUAAUAGGUUCGAGGUGGAAGCAUGGUGACAUGUGGAGCUGACGAAUACUAAUCGAUCGAAGACUUAAUCAA
This 2923-nucleotide ribosomal RNA is filed under the name Staphylococcus aureus. Its description in RNAcentral is "23S ribosomal RNA". It matches the Rfam family "Bacterial large subunit ribosomal RNA". Lineage: Bacteria; Bacillati; Bacillota; Bacilli; Caryophanales; Staphylococcaceae. The record is from RNAcentral.